UACGUAGGGUGCAGGCGUUAAUCGGAAUUACUGGGCGUAAAGCGUGCGCAGGCGGUCUUUUAAGUCAGAUGUGAAAUCCCCGGGCUUAACCUGGGAACUGCGUUUGAAACUGGAAGGCUUGAGUGUGGCAGAGGGGGGUGGAAUUCCACGUGUAGCAGUGAAAUGCGUAGAGAUGUGGAGGACACCGAGUGGACGAACGGCAGCCCCUGGGCUAACACGUGACGCUCGAUGCACGAAAGCGUGGGGGAGCAAACAGG
This 257-nucleotide ribosomal RNA is filed under the name uncultured bacterium. Its description in RNAcentral is "partial 16S ribosomal RNA". It matches the Rfam family "Bacterial small subunit ribosomal RNA", at positions 524 to 776 of the family's 1533-position model. The record is from RNAcentral.